AAAUGAAGAAGAACAAAAAUGAACGCCCAACUUCCGCUCGACAGGUGAAGCCCGUGACGUCACCGACUCGGAAAGUGCGAGGAACUGCUUCAUGAAAACAAAAAUAAUUUGCCGUUUUGUUUAACUCUUAGAAACAAUCUUGCGUAAUAUACGGCAACGAUAUGUGUGGUUUCGAUAAGGAGAAGGGCCCAGGGCGUCUGAUGAAGAAGGGGUUUACUCUGAUCCUGGUGGGUCACAUUAACUUCAUUCUGGGAGCCAUCAUCCACGGCAGCAUCCUGCGCCACAUCUCUAAACCCAACGACCAGAUCACCACCGAGUUCACCGCCGCCAACAUCAUCUCUGUCACCUCCGGACUGCUGAGCAUUGCAACAGGAAUCAUUGCCAUAUUGGUGUCAAGAAAUCUGUCAGUUUGGAAGCUGCACAUAGGUCUUCUGAUUAGUUCCUUCCUGAAUGCCCUACUCUCUGCAGCCUGUGGCAUCGGGCUCCUAUUGGCUAUUAGCCUCACCAUUGCCAACGAGGGGAGGGGCCUCAUGUUGGGCUGCAACUUCACUGACUUGCCAAUCAACGCCCGCUCGCCAGUCAACGCAGACUGCCCCUUUGACACCACACGGAUUUAUGACACUGCCCUGUCUCUGUGGUUCCCAUGUGUACUUCUGGCUGGACUGGAAACAGGACUUUCUAUCUGGUGCUUCGUAGUGGGACUGGUACUGAGGGGUCUAGGACCCUGCUCUCACACAUACCUCAAAGAACAGGUAAUACUCACUCACUCACUCACUCACUCACUCACUCACUCACUUACUUCUUUCUCCAUCUCUCCUGUUUCUGUUCUCUGUGCCAGCUGGAGGAGGAGGCUCUAACUAAUAGGGCAGAUCCAGAGUACUCACUCCAGGUCCGGAGCCUGAUUGGUCAACACUCUGCCUACGCAUAGAGGACUGCCACAGACUGGGAGUGUUUGAUGACGAAGGUGUGACUGAGCCUCUUCGUCUUCAGAGAACCUCCCUGGUGCCUUUACCUCCAUUCAUACCAAAGACUCUCCUCUCCCUCAACGUGAUAGGCUAGCUAGACUGCUGGAUGACAUUGUCUCUGUGUCUGCCUCAGAAUGUCUGUCCUCCCCUCGAUCCGCCAACAUUUCACAAAUGCAAAAUUACAAAUGCCUGUAGUGUAGAGAUUAUUUAUGGAUCAAUAUCUUCGUUAUAGUAUUUUAAAUAAUUGCAUUUAAUCACAUUUGGCAUUUAUCAUGCUUCAUGCUUUUUUCAUUUUCUGCACAUGUUAUUUCCUCCUUUUAACAGCAGCACACUGUUAUAUACCUCGUUAAAUUUAACGACUAACUCUCAGCUUAGCCAAAGAUGUUUGUUUUAUGACUACUCUUGUAUUUAACUACCAAUCUCAGCCAAAGAUGUUUUAUUGUCAUGUGUGUUUUUGUAACCUGAUUAUGUCUACCUGCCUGAUCUACCAGGCCUCGAUGCACUCCAUAGUGUUUACUACUCUGUUAUUUCCUGGCUUGAAUGUAUACUGUGGGGAUAUGGGAAGACAAUGCCUGAGAGGGGCUCUGAGGGUUCAUCUCAAAUUCCUAGAAACAAAUCUCCCACAUUGCAGUUUUCUCCCAAUUUUAUUUCUCCUGCAGGUGCAUAUAGAAGAAGGGGAACAGGGAGAGCUGAACCACUUUAGUGUACUGAGACGCACACUGAAAUUUUGACUGAAACCCAAUGCAGCAGAGCAGCCCCUGGGGGCCGGGGUGCAUGAGUGGUCAGGUAGACACCAGUAUGUAAGUCAUACAGGUGUAGCUGGGAUGGGCUCACAUUCCCCGACACCAGGCAGAAGUUAUCAGCUCAGUGCUGAAACGGUUCAUCUGGUGCUGGGUUAAAUCAAGCGGGUCGUAAUCUUUGCACACAACGCUAAUCCCCUGAUCUGAGGGGGGAAUCAAUAUUGAUAUAAGGAGGUGACUGACCCUGUCCCAACAAAGGUUGUUUUCUAUGCGUGGCCAGCUGAAUGUUGUUCCUCCAGGGCUGCCAUAUGUUGUACUGUAGUACUACUACUUUAGUGGGUGUCCACUAGCUUCCAUAGCCACAAAGUCAUAUUCCACAGUCACAAAGUUGUAAUUGGCUACAAAAACAAGCUUUUUGGUUUUAAUUUAAGGUUAGCAGUGUGGUUAAGUUCAGGGCUAAGGUUAGGUUUAAAAUAAAAUUUUAAGACUUUAAUUGUAGAAAUGGGUGGGGUGUAUGACUUUGUGGUAACUAGUGUCGACCACUUUGCAGGGAUAAACUAGUGUAGGCUACUCAUUAGAAUGAGCUGGAUUUCACUGAGUUUAAACCCUGGUGGAUUGUCACUGGAAUGUAGUCCAAUAACAUUUUAUGUGUAAGGGUUGGGGUCUUACAUUUUUUAUUCAGGAAGUCAGUUGAACUUCCUGAAUUGAUCCUGACCAUGACCUCAAUCUACAUUUCAUGCAUGGUGUGUUUUGGUUGCCUGCAGUAUUUUUUACAUGAAGUUGCAUGUGUUUAGUUGAUUUUAUAUUUAAGGACUGCACCGAUCAAUGUGUUCAACGUUUUUAUAUGGAAUCAUUUUCUUCAAAUAAAUGUUAACUCUUUGAUUUAU
RNA transcript from Oncorhynchus kisutch (coho salmon), 2592 nucleotides. It is a transcript of the gene named keratinocyte-associated protein 3, with no coding region annotated. The record is from RefSeq and is a predicted model, not a curated record. The transcript has 6 exons. Lineage: Eukaryota; Metazoa; Chordata; Actinopteri; Salmoniformes; Salmonidae.